This is a long non-coding RNA of Suricata suricatta (meerkat), 512 nucleotides long. RefSeq lists it as uncharacterized. Lineage: Eukaryota; Metazoa; Chordata; Mammalia; Carnivora; Herpestidae. The record is from RefSeq and is a predicted model, not a curated record. The transcript is spliced from 4 exons.
CAGUGGUCUACAAAUUAGAUAUUAUCUCCAUUUUCUUCCUCUUCAGUGAAAGUAAUAGAACAAACUAUGAUUUGGGGAAAAAAUAUAAGUGCUCCCACCAGAAAACCAACAGAAUGAAUCCUAUUCUACUUUGAGCUUCAUGGUCAAAUUCAAGAUUUUUACUGGGCUAAAAAUAGAGAUUCGAAGAUGGCAGAGGACUCCUGUGGGAUUCUGAAGGCUCCAUCUCUAGAUGUGACCAUCUUCUGAUCAGUUCGACAUUGAAGGAAUCAUCCAGCUGGUUCAUGUUCCCUCUACCUAUAACUUAUGCUGAAUCUGGCUCAUGGAAGUAAGUUAAUGACCCACCACUUCUGCACAAGUACCAUUGGAAAGUUAUCUCUGGAAAAAUAAGAUGAACUCAUUACAGUUGGCUAUGAUUUUGUACUGGGGGAAAAAGGAAAGUGGAUUUGAAUGGCCUCUGUCAUUUUCUAGAUUGUUUAAGGACUAUGUAUAAACUUUUGUGACAUGAAGCUGAA